AGUGAACGCUGGCGGCAGGCCUAAUACAUGCAAGUCGAACGGCAGCACAGUAAGAGUUCGCCCUUACGGGUGGCGAGUGGCGGACGGGUGAGGCAUACAUCGCAAACCUAUAUUUCGUGGAGGACAACGGAGGGACGCAUACGAUAAUGCAGCAUAUGAUGAACGGGAGGAAGCAGAAGUGAUUCGCAGCUUGCCUGUCACUAAUAGCUGAUGCCGGAUUAGCUAGUUGGGGGGGUAAAGGACCACCAAGGCAACGAUCCGUAGCUGAGCUGAGAGGAUGAUCAGCCACACUGGAACUGAGACACGGUCCAGACUCCUACGGGAGGCAGCAGUGGGGAAUAUUGGGCAAUGGGCGCAAGCCUGAUCCAGCCAUGCCGCGUGGGUGAAGAAGGCCUUCGGGUUGUAAAGCCCUUUUGUUAGGAAAGAAAAGCAGCAGGUUAAUACCCCGCUGUUCUGACGGUACCCAAUGAAUAAGCACCGGCUAACUUCGUG
This 492-nucleotide ribosomal RNA is filed under the name uncultured bacterium. RNAcentral describes it as "partial 16S ribosomal RNA". It matches the Rfam family "Bacterial small subunit ribosomal RNA", at positions 29 to 507 of the family's 1533-position model. The record is from RNAcentral.